AGUGAACGCUGGCGGUAGGCCUAACACAUGCAAGUCGAACGGCAGCACAGGAGAGCUUGCUCUCUGGGUGGCGAGUGGCGGACGGGUGAGGAAUACAUCGGAAUCUACUCUGUCGUGGGGGAUAACGUAGGGAAACUUACGCUAAUACCGCAUACGACCUACGGGUGAAAGCAGGGGAUCUUCGGACCUUGCGCGAUUGAAUGAGCCGAUGUCGGAUUAGCUAGUUGGCGGGGUAAAGGCCCACCAAGGCGACGAUCCGUAGCUGGUCUGAGAGGAUCAUCAGCCACACUGGUACUGGGACACGGUCCAGACUCCUACAGGAUGCAACAGUGGGGAAUAUUGGACAAUGGGCGCAAGCCUGAUCCAGCCAUACCGCGUGGGUGAAGAAGGCCUUCGGGUUGCAAAGCCCUUUUGUUGGGAAAGAAAUCCAGCCGGUUAAUACCUGGUUGGGAUGACGGUACCCAACGAAUAAGCACCGGCUAACUUCGUGCCAGCAGCCGCUGUAA
RNAcentral lists this ribosomal RNA (506 nucleotides) under uncultured bacterium. Its description in RNAcentral is "partial 16S ribosomal RNA". It matches the Rfam family "Bacterial small subunit ribosomal RNA", at positions 29 to 523 of the family's 1533-position model. The record is from RNAcentral.